AUUGAACGCUGGCGGCAGGCCUAACACAUGCAAGUCGAACGGUAACAGGAAGAAGCUUGCUUCUUUGCUGACGAGUGGCGGACGGGUGAGUAAUGUCUGGGAAACUGCCUGAUGGAGGGGGAUAACUACUGGAAACGGUAGCUAAUACCGCAUAACGUCGCAGGACCAAAGAGGGGGACCUUCGGGCCUCUUGCCAUCGGAUGUGCCCAGAUGGGAUUAGCAAGUAGGUGGGGUAAUGGCUCACCUAGGCGACGAUCCCUAGCUGGUCUGAGAGGAUGACCAGCCACACUGGAACUGAGACACGGUCCAGACUCCUACGGGAGGCAGCAGUGGGGAAUAUUGCACAAUGGGCGCAAGCCUGAUGCAGCCAUGCCGCGUGUAUGAAGAAGGCCUUCGGGUUGUAAAGUACUUUCAGCGGGGAGGAAGGGAGUAAAGUUAAUACCUUUGCUCAUUGACGUUACCCGCAGAAGAAGCACCGGCUAACUCCGUG
This 490-nucleotide ribosomal RNA is filed under the name uncultured bacterium. RNAcentral describes it as "partial 16S ribosomal RNA". It matches the Rfam family "Bacterial small subunit ribosomal RNA", at positions 30 to 507 of the family's 1533-position model. The record is from RNAcentral.